Alligator mississippiensis (American alligator) is the source of this 1762-nucleotide long non-coding RNA. RefSeq lists it as uncharacterized. Lineage: Eukaryota; Metazoa; Chordata; Crocodylia; Alligatoridae. The record is from RefSeq and is a predicted model, not a curated record. The transcript has 2 exons.
GGGGGGGGGGGGGACUCUUGUUGCUGAAUAACCCAAGUGAAACUACAUUGGAAAAUAUGGAUUGUUUUUUGUAAUUCUCUUCCUGAACAUGCAUCUUUAUAUCUUUGGUAUUUUACAGUGGAUACAUUUUUAUAUUCUGCUUUCUCAACUGUAGAAAUGUUUCAGGCUGUUUCAAAACAAGUGUUAUUUUUGUACUAUUACAGUUCCUUAUUUCUUGUCUUCAAGGGGAUUUAAAUAUGCAUUUGUCACUCUCUAAAGAAACUGCAACUGCUCUUUUCCGAGAGCUUGUACUAGAGCUCCCCCUAUGCCGAAUAGCACUUCAUAAUUCCAGUUAUCCUUUCAGGAGAUCCAGCUGAUACAUGGCUGAAGCUACAUCCUCCCUCUGGUCUCAUCCCCAGUCUCCAACCAGCCUGCAGCAAGGUGUUUGUUCCUGUUUGUCCAUUUGCUUGGAAAAGCCCUCAGGACCUCACUGUGUGAACAUCAGGGGAUCAUUGUUCACACUGAGCCUCAGCCAGUUAACUUGGGCCUUUUUGUCUAGCUGCUUAUUAAAUUCUCUUAACGUAAACUGUUAGUGUUUGUGUCUGCUGUUUUUUUCCUUCUUCAUACAUCCAUUAUUUUAUCUUGUCUACACACCCUUCCUGUACCAUACCACUUAAAUGUCACUUUUGUUUUGUCUUCCUUCUUCCUCAAGUGUCAGCCUCCCUGUGCCUCCUCCCUGUUAGAUUAGAUUUCUUCUUGUUACAUCCUGAUGCAGUGAUGCUUUUGAUUCUUCAUUGCUCACCUUCAUUCUGAGCUUUGUGAGGUUUUUUUUCUUAGCAUUGCCCUGCACUCAGUUCACGUCCUUCUUCCUGACUGCAUAUUACACUGAAAAUGGAACAAGGUAUUUUUAACUUUCUUUUCUCCUAUUAUGCAUUGGGGAAAGGGAAGGUUCUCUAAGCAAAAAGAAUCUGCAUCUGAAGUAGGUGCUGUAACACACUGCUUACCUCCUUACUCUUUCCAGAAUCCCUCAAUACUAUUUCUUUAAUGCUGUUGCAUGCCACAAUAUGUGACAAGUUUCAAAAUAUAUUUCAGUUUUUGUGAAAUGAUAGGCAUUUAUUGGUUUGGCUAUGUAGAGCUAAAUCUGUAUCCUUUGGACAUAAUGACAAGUUUUAUAUAAAAAAAAAAAAAAAUCUCAAUUUAAAACAGAGUUUGAUUUUUAUAUGCCCUUCUACCCAAAAGGCUCAGUGGUUUACAAUAAAGAAAUAAUCUACAGAGGGUCUGAAUACUGCAAAACCUGAGCAUGCCAACUUCUACCCCACAGCUGUAUCCCUGCCCAAACUGCACACAAGCAAACCAUCCUGCCAAUGCCAGCCUCCCAACCCCUACUUGCAUCCAAGAUACAAAAAAAAGUUUUUUCUAUUUUCACCCACACUCUCCCUCCUUUUAAUCCUAGGGAAGAUUUGCCCACCCUCCUCCAAUAUCCCUCCCCCUCCCAAAUGCACCUAACUCCUCCUUCCCCUAGCAAGUAGUGUUGUUUUGAAGUGUAGUAUUCUAACAGAAAAGUAAAAGAAAGAACCACUUUCUCCACCUCUGUCACUGCUGAAGGGCAAGGCUAAAGGACACCCUUAAGCCCAGGGAGGCCUGCCACUUCGUAGAGCCUGCAGAACGGUCAGGUCCUUCCCCCUUCUUCAGGUGGCUGUGAUGAUGAUGCUGGUGUAUCCUGCACUGAAAUCUUUUAAGGACUGUAGAUGAGCUAACUAAUAAACACUACUUUGAACAGUGA